GUAAGAAUUUUCUUCGGGAGCACCUGGGAUCCCAGUACAACCUAAUGUUUUUGGCUACAUGUAGGCCUAAGUUUACAAAAACUAUUUCAAUGAAAUGCCCAGCAAGUGGUAUAAUAUUGUUUUAUGUAUUACGUCGGAUAUGGCAAGACUAGACGUUUCCAUACAUGCUUUUUUGCUUCUUAUGAGCUUUUUAUUUUAAGUUUUUUAAGAAUUUGAAGUAUGGUACAAGUAUAUAAAGUUGACUCCAUUUACAAUAACCAUUACAAUGAAAUGUUUAAAAUAAUGGUAUGAUAGUUUUGUAUAGUAUGUCGGAUAUGGUAAGACUAGACGCUUGAAUACAUACUUUUUGCUACUUAUAGGCAAAGUUUUUAAUUUAAAAGUUGCAAGUAUAUAAUUGACUUGCAAUGAACUGUUGGUUAUGGUAUGAUAGUUUCAUAGUACGUCGGAUAUGGCAAAACUAGACGUUUCAAUACAUUUUUACUACUUAUGGGCUUAAGUUUUUAUUUUAAGUUUUCAAGAAUUUAAAUUACAAGUAAUAUAUUUGGCUCUGUUUACAGAAACUAUUACAAUGAAAUGUUUAAAAUAAUUGUAUGCUAGUUUCAUGGUACGUCGGAUAUGGCAAGACUAGACGUUUCAAUACAUUUUUACUACUUAUGGACUUAAGUUUUUAUUAAGUUUUUAAGAAUUUAAAUUAUAAGUACUGUAUAUAUAGCUGGCUCUGUUUUCAGACACUAUUACAAUGAAAUGUUUAAAAUAAUGGUAUGAUAGUUUCAUAGUACGUCGGAUAUGGCAAGACUAGACGUUUCAAUACACAAUUUUCACUACUUAUACAGUAUAACUUAAAUGUUUAUUUUAAAUUGUUAAGAAUUUAAAUUACAAGUAUAGUUGACUUCAUUUAUAAUAACUAUUACAGUGAAAUGUUUAAAAUAUUGGUUUGAUAGUUUUGUAUAGUACGUCUGAUAUGGCAAGACUAGACGUUUCAAUACAUAUUUUUCACUACUUAUGGGCUUAAAGGCCGUUUUCCACUAGGCGAAUUUUCACAACAAUUUUUACCCAUACGCAUACGCAAGAGACUUUCAAGAUGAAUGUUAAACUGCGCAUGCGUAUAGGCGAAAAUUUUCAAUUUGUGCGAAUACGGUAUAUAUUCGUCUAGUAGAAAACAGGCUUUAGUUUUUAUUUUAAGUUUUUAAGAAUUUAUAUUAUAAGUAGUCCUAUAUAGUUUUGACUCCAUUUAAAGAAACUAUUUCUAUGUGACAUUUUUAGAAUAUUUUUAAGGUGUUGUGUUUUUGUAUACGUCGGAUAUGGCAAGACUAGACGGUUCAAUACACACUUUUUCGCUACUUUAUAUAUGGGCUUAAAUUUUAUUUUAAAUUAUGAAUUUAAAUUACAAGUACACAUAGGCCCUAGUUGACUAGAAUAAUGGUAAGAUAAUGGUAAGACUGACGUUUCAAUAUAUACUGUACUACCAGUAAUUGAUCAAAGACUUUAAAUGCACAUCACGUACAAAGACUAAUACAACAAGUUGCGUAUCAGAGAGUAAUUACCAUGUUUUUACGCUUAAAAUUUAAGAAACACCUGUAAAAUCACUAAAGUAUUUUCCAAAGUGUUAGAGAUAUUGACCAUGUAUUCAUUUUACACAAUUAUACACUAUUAUAUGAACAUUUUUUUUUCACUUUAUGGUAUUUUACUCGUUAAAAAUGUUGUUAAUGGUAUGAUAGUUUCAUAGUACGUCGGAUAUGGCAAAACUAGACGUUUCAAUAUAUUUUUACUACUUAUGGACUUAAAUUUUUAUUAAGUUUUCAAGAAUUUAAAUUACAAGUAUAUAUAAUGGGCUCUGUUUACAGAAACUAUUGCAAUGAAAUGUUAAGAAUAAUGGUAAGAUGUGGUGUUUUCUAGUAUGUUGGAUAUGGAAAGACCUUACGUUUCAAUACAUACUUUUUUUGCUAAUACAGGCUUAAGUUUUCAUUUUAAGUUUUUGAGAAAUUAAAUUUUAAGAAUUUAAAGUACAAGCAUAGGCCUAUAUAGUUGACGCCGUUUACAAUAACUAUUACAAUGAAAUGUUUAAAAUAUUGGUUUGAUAGUUUUGUAUACUACGUCGGAUAUGGCAAGACUAGACGUUUCAAUACAUAUUUUUUGCUACUUGUCGGCUUAAAGGCCAUUUACCACUAGGUGAAUGAAUAUUAAACUGUGCAUGCGUAUAGGCGAAAAUUGUUGAUUUGUGCAAGUACAGUAUAUUCGACUAAUGGAAUAUUCGUCUAAUAAAAAACAGGCUUUAGUUUUUAUUUUACGUUUUUAAGAAUUUGAAUUAUAAGUAUAUAGAGUUGACUCCAUUUAAAGAAACUAUUUUAGAAUAAUUUUAAGAUAUGGUGUUUUUGUAGGCCUAUACGUCGGAUAUGGCAAGACUAGACGGUUCAAUACAUAUUUUUUGCUACUUUAUGGGCUUAAAUUUUUAAAUUACAACUACAUAUAGGCUCUAGUUGACUCCGUUUACAAAAAACUAUUACAAUGAAAUAGAGUAAUGGUAAGAUACUGUUUUUUGUAUAGGCUAUUACGUCGGAUAUGGCAAGACUGAUGUUUCAGUAUAUACUGUACUACCGGUAAUUGAUCAAAGACUUUAAAUGCACAUCACGUACAAAGACUAAUACAACAAGUUGCGUAUCAGAGAGUAAUUACAAUUUUUUUAUACUUAAAAUUUAAGAAACACCUGUAAAAUCACUAAAGUAUUUUCCAAAGUGUUAGAGAUAUUGACCAUGUAUUCAUUGUACACAAUUAUACACUAUUAUAUGAACAUUUUUUUUUCACUUUAUGGUAUCUUACUCGUUAAAAGCCACAUGACAUCAUGACAUUUGACCUAUAAAAAAUUAAAUCAUCCAAUUGGUCUCUUAUUUUGGACAGUCAGGGGCGGAUCCAGAAAUUCCCUGGGGGAGCAAUAGGUAGUCCGUGGUGGAUCCAGGAUCUCAAAAUAGAGUGAAGUGCAGUGAUGGAUUUUGAUCGGGGCUGAGGAAAAAACAGUGUAUGAUUAUUACACCUCUAUGGGGAAAUGGCAAUCAUAUAUCUAAAUUCGAUUAUAAAUUUCCCUUUUUUUCUAGAUUUUCUUCAAAAAGUUUUGAACAAAAUUAAGGGGAGCGGGGUCGGCCUGGCUAGGCCCCACUUGAUUCUGGCAGAGUAGGCCACACAUACCUCUACCCCAUCAUGGUUGGAGCGUGAGCAAAUUUUAAGAAUCUAGAAGCUCGGAAAUGAAUCUCAGAUGGUAAAAAGCAGGGUUCCUCGACAAAAUUAUUUAAUUCCUAUCGAAGGGAGCUAUGCUACCCUUUCCUUGAUACCCAUCACCUCAUGGGCGUCCAAAGGUCUAUUCGAAGACUUAUUUUAGUGAUUCUACUGGGAUUUGCAAAGCAAACUAUGAUUAUGACACCUCAAAAAUGCCCAGAAUCGGUACUCAUUCAGACUUGCAAUUUUAAAAUUUUAUUCAUUAAAAAAAAUUGACAGGUGUAGGGGUUUCUUUUGGCCUUUUUUACAUCCUGAUUUAUGAAAUUUGUGGGGAAAAAAUCAGCGUCUGGUAUAUAGCAUUGUUGUAUUGGGUUCGUCGUCAAUCAAUUUAAAAUCAAAAUUUAGUGAGAGUUAAAAAUCAAGCUCUCCUCACAUUGCUGGACCAGCCACUAAACUCAUGGUUACACUGCCUUUUCCUCUCCUUUACAUUUUUCUCCCUCUUUUUUUUUCAGUGGGACUGACGGGGGUUAGGCACAGGCCCCGUGAGCCCCUGGAUCUGCCUCUGACAGUGUGCAUAACAUUGGUGUGAGAGCAAUGCUAAAUAGAGAAGCUAAUAGGCCUACUUAAAUAUUUAUAUCUUAGAUAAACGUGUUUUUUGACGUUGCAAUUAGAAGCCGCUUCGUUUAUUUGUUUAGCUUUCAGAAAUGUAGUAAACAGGUACCGGUAUUUUAAUACUGAUUAAACAUGUAAUGCAUCAAACA
Molecule: long non-coding RNA, 3968 nt
Organism: Anneissia japonica
Lineage: Eukaryota; Metazoa; Echinodermata; Crinoidea; Comatulida; Comatulidae
Exons: 2
Source: RefSeq, a predicted model, not a curated record